AGCCAAAAAAAGUGCCCAAAUAUUCUAGUCAAAAAUUAAAGCAGCAUAAAAUUGUGACGAGGCCCAAAAAAGACCUAGCCCCAAAAAGACAAGUACAUAUUUGAACAUAACAUACUGAAGUGUCUCUAUCUUUCUCUGAGUUACUGAAGAAUGAGAAAACCCUAUCAAUGUUGCUUUUCUCUUCACAUUUUCAGUUCCGAUUCAACCUCCCAAAGUGAUUUUUACCCAGAUUUUUUAUCUUUGGUGCCUUCUUAAGUUAUUCCAUGUGCAAAUGUCUCAUCUAAGAUAUCUCAUAGUAAACAUCAAUCCCCUAUACAUAUUUGAGAGUGUCUUCUUUCUCACGCUGAAGAUCGUCCGAUUCUUCUUCUUCCGGUGAUGAUGACCAUCUGGAAGCACAAAUCGGUGCCCGUCCAGAUAAGGGUUCAAGUAUUAAUUAUAAUCUCCGCCACCACACUGUACUAUGCCUACCACUCUCUGCCGCAACUCCUCUUGCUGUGCACUGCUAGCCGGCGAUUGCAGCCUCUCCACCCACACCUAUUAGGGUUUUCUGAUCACACAAUAGCUCACCGUGAUGCCACCCCCGGCUCCUGCAGCCUAGAAACCCAGAUCUCUCAUUACUUUAUUUUCUCUCUUAUAUUUAUUCUUUUUCUUUCUACUCCCAUUCCAAGUACUACCGGAUCCAAUACUCGCCAAAAAUCAACAACUAUGAUCGGAUCUUUUCCUUCUCCGAUGGCUUUCCAUUGUAUAUCCAGUUACCCACACAAUUUUUGCUUCCCUUCUUCUGGACAUUUCCUUAUUCUCCGCUAUAUAUCUUUCUUCCUUUUUCUACUGUGUUUGCAUGUAAUAUUAUGAGCUAGACUCAAAUGACAUGUUUCCGAUGACAAUCGAAACAGUGGCCUCAAGCGACUUCCAGCAAACCUCUGGUGACUUCUAGCGAAGACAAAGUAUCAGAUUUUUUAUUUCUUCAAGAUUUUCUACAAAAAAACAUAUUUUGUUUCGACUCUUGCAAUAUUUGUAUUUCUCACAUAAUUUUGUCGGUCCUACCUAUACCUUUCUAGUUUUUGUUGUAUUCUUACAUUUGAUCAGCUACCAUUCAUAAUUUUAUUUGUUAGAUUCAGUGGUUUAUUUUCUACAAGUAUUAAGACUAGUUUGAAUAAGCCUUAUGUUCAAAUUCUCUGAUAUUUGAUUUAGUUCAAAUAUGCUUGCUUGUAUUUUGAUUUUCA
Molecule: long non-coding RNA, 1223 nt
Organism: Solanum dulcamara
Lineage: Eukaryota; Viridiplantae; Streptophyta; Magnoliopsida; Solanales; Solanaceae
Exons: 2
Source: RefSeq, a predicted model, not a curated record